This is a long non-coding RNA of Alnus glutinosa, 529 nucleotides long. RefSeq lists it as uncharacterized. The transcript is spliced from 2 exons. NCBI's taxonomy places the organism in Eukaryota, Viridiplantae, Streptophyta, Magnoliopsida, Fagales, Betulaceae. The record is from RefSeq and is a predicted model, not a curated record.
GUUUGCCAACAUCUCUAUAGUUUGUCCUGAUUUUGUUCUACAUGCAUUAGAUUCAUUCCAAAGAUCGAUCUGAUAUCCCAGUGCUUGUAAUCUAUCUGAUCUAAAUCAUCUUUUUUUUUAGUAUUAGAUUCAUUCAGAAAUUAAAGCAAUUCUCUUUUGGAAUUCAAAAACCACAAGUUUUUCCUCUUCUAGAAAGCCAGCGAUCGACUUUAGUGGUGGUGAUUCUCUUUCUAGUGGGAAGCUACUUAGGUCAACAACGUAUGAAAGAACUGAAUUGAGGUAACACUCCACUAAAGAGGAUAUGUGCGUGAUAUGUGCAUGCGUGCUAUCCAGCGCCAAAGCAUGAGAAUCAUUUGUGAACCCACAGAAAUUGAUGCAAAAGCUUUUGUCAUAAUCAUUUGUAUGUCAACUGGAAAUUGAUGUGCCAUUGGCACCAACCAUUCAAAGGGCCAGCCACAUUUUGUUAGGUUUGCCUGUCAUUUCGGCAUCAGGAUCAUUGUUUUCAAUAUAUUAAUUUUUAUUUUGUGUU